This is a long non-coding RNA of Pezoporus occidentalis (night parrot), 1048 nucleotides long. RefSeq lists it as uncharacterized. The record is from RefSeq and is a predicted model, not a curated record. NCBI's taxonomy places the organism in Eukaryota, Metazoa, Chordata, Aves, Psittaciformes, Psittacidae. The transcript is spliced from 4 exons.
UUGUUUGUAAAAUGUGAAAGAAAAAUGAAAACAAUUUCCUAUUUGCUCUCUUUGAAGUUAAGGGGGAAAAAACCCUCAGAGUAUAGCUGAAUUACCACAUAAAGCAACAUGCUUUUUUUUUAUUAUGUAAAGAUCAAAGUAGAGGGAGAAAAGUAUUGCAAGGAUCUUACUUUGAUGAGUUUGGUCACAAAUCAAAACUUGGUUUGGUGGGGGAGAUACAGACACAAAGCACUAUGUACCACGGAGUUGCUGAAUAUGUUAAAAAAGUGCUGAGCAGUAUUAAAUUAAUGCAAAACUGAAGAUUACACAAGGGUAAACACUGCAGCUAAUGUUUGACUAGAGCUGAACUGAGGGCUGAGUGCCUCCACUUAAUUUGCAGACCAUGCCCACGGCAGCCCCAGGAGGCUGGGAGUGGAGGAGACAGACAUUUUAUAGUGAGGAGCCACAUUAUUAUUUUUAAAUUUAGGGAAAAAAAAAAAAAAUCUGGCUAAAGUUACUGUUUCUAAACACUGGGGAGAGGCAACUGAGAGAAACCAAAAAAGAAGGAUCAGUGAGUGCCUUUUGGAGCUGAAAGAGAAAGAUAUGCUAAGCUAAUACCCAGACCUAUUCUUGCCAGGACCAAGGGUGGCUGGCUUUCUCAGCUGGCUCCUGUCUGACUUGUUCCCUGCUGAAAAGCAUGAAACGUCAUCACACAAGAGUUUAUCUUCAUGUCUUGAGUUUCCAGAAUUUGCAACCACAUUGACGUAGAUCUACAAGUGACAAAAGCACUGCGUUGCCAGGUCUGCUGAAGAACAGUGAGAAGAUUACAUUUUCCUCUGAAUUCAGCAGAGGUCUCCAAACAGUACUUGUCCUUCAGUUAUCUGAAGUCAAAAUGCAAAAGCAGACACCUCUCAUGAAAAGUUUGACCAAGAAGAGAAUAAUUUUCAGUGAAAAUUUGCUUAGAUGAAAAAUGUACAGCCAGCUCUGAUGCAAAGCACCUUAUGGUAAGUGCUUCCUUUCUGUUUGCUCUUGCAUCCAGCUCUGCAAUUCUGCACUGCAUUGGCCUUUA